GGUUGUGGUUCAGGGGUAGAGAGCACUUGCCUUGUAUGUGUGAGGCCCUGGGUUCGAUCCUCAGCACCA
RNAcentral lists this transfer RNA (69 nucleotides) under Marmota monax (woodchuck). RNAcentral's name for it is "tRNA.Thr". Lineage: Eukaryota; Metazoa; Chordata; Mammalia; Rodentia; Sciuridae. The record is from RNAcentral.